AGGUUUGCACAGUGGCAGUAUUGUAGCCAAUGAGGUUUAUCCAAGGCACGAUUAUUGCUAAUUGGAAACUUUUCCCGAUGCCCCACCAUGACGACUUGAAAUGUAGUUGGCACUGGUAAUUUUUGACAGUCUCUAUGGAGA
This 141-nucleotide small nuclear RNA is filed under the name Cebus imitator (Panamanian white-faced capuchin). Its description in RNAcentral is "U4 spliceosomal RNA (ENSCCAG00000006594.1)". It matches the Rfam family "U4 spliceosomal RNA". Rfam says of the family: U4 small nuclear RNA (U4 snRNA) is a component of the major U2-dependent spliceosome. Lineage: Eukaryota; Metazoa; Chordata; Mammalia; Primates; Cebidae. The record is from Rfam by way of RNAcentral.